RNAcentral lists this ribosomal RNA (253 nucleotides) under uncultured bacterium. Its description in RNAcentral is "partial 16S ribosomal RNA". It matches the Rfam family "Bacterial small subunit ribosomal RNA", at positions 524 to 776 of the family's 1533-position model. The record is from RNAcentral.
GACAGAGGGUGCAAACGUUGCUCGGAAUCACUGGGCGUAAAGGGCGUGUAGGCGGGAAGGUAAGUCGGGCGUGAAAUCCCUGAGCUCAACUCAGGAACUGCACUCGAAACUACUUUUCUUGAGUGCCGGAGAGGAAAGCGGAAUUCCUGGUGUAGAGGUGAAAUUCGUAGAUAUCAGGAGGAACACCGAUAGCGAAGGCAGCUCGCUGGGACGGUACUGACGCUGAGGCGCGAAAGCGUGGGGAGCGAACAGG